GAAAGAAUUUCAAAGCUUCACCUGAUAAAUAAACUUCUUUAGAGUUUUAACUUAACACGAUCAACAUGGCAAAGACAACAAACAAAAAAGCCAAUACCACUCAGACAAAGGUGGAUGACGUCCAUUUCUUUAAUUACCUGAUAGAGGAAUUAGACAAUCUGAGCAAACAUUUAAUUAUGAAACAAUCUGAAAUACUUCAGAAAUCGGAGGCUAACGAAUGUGCGUUAAAGGAGAAGAUCAAAGAGCAAGAAAUCCAACUGUGUCGACAUAAAGAGAAGAUGCAGGAAAUGCAUCAAAACUAUGAAGAAAAAUUGCAGACUGCAGACAAAAUGAUAGAGGAGCUAAAAGCACAACUGAGGGUCGAAACAUCAAAAAACAACGUCUGUGUUUCACAAGAUCCCAAUCACCUCUGGACACCAGUUUACCCAGACCCCAAUACUGGUAUAAUCUACCACUACCAUUCCACACCAGAUGAACAGUUCUCCACAGAACAGGUAGACAACAAUUUUCCCCAACAACAGUGGAUGAUACCAUUAUACCCACAAACUAGUAGUGGUAUAGUUGACUACUCCCAGCCCCCUCAGCGGUUAAUACCAGCAUACCGAGACCCUACGGAUUUGGUCCACUUUGGUAAGCCGUUAGAAGCAGUUUACCCAGAACCUAAUACUGGUAUGGUCUACCACCAGCAGCCCAUACCUGAUGGGAUGUUUUACCCAGUAAAUCCAGACUUCCAUUAUCCUGCGUAUGAAUGCCCACAACCCUUUUUAGAGAACAUAGAGUCCGACCAUCAAUUCAACACUGAACACCAGGAUAUCGAAAAUAACGCUUCCCAAGACCAAAUGUCCUCAGAAGGUGUAGAGAGUGAUACCCAGUUACCUCACAACCUCUCAUCAGACUUAAUGGAGGAAACAGACCAACAACUCUUAUUAGAACUUGGUCAGAGCAAACACCAGGACCAAGGACUCUCUGAAAACCUGGGACAAAUUAUGGACCAGGCCAAGGGCUCUUCAAAGAACUGGGUCAGAGCAAAGACCAGCACCAAGGACUCUCUGAAAAACUGGGUAAAAUUCAGUAAGUUCAAAGAGGACAAGAAACAGCUGGACAAUCUCUCAUCAGAAUCAAAAGGGAAUGACGUCCAGGAAGAAACUCUUUAUGGCACUGAGAAAAAAGGAGGACGAUUUUAAUGCAGAUUUUCUUCCAUGGAGCAGUCAGGGACACAGUUCAUGGACCAGAACCAGGACCAGGACUACGUCCAUGGUCCAUAACCUCCAGCUCAUGAUGAAC
RNAcentral lists this long non-coding RNA (1284 nucleotides) under Gouania willdenowi (blunt-snouted clingfish). Its description in RNAcentral is "lncRNA (ENSGWIG00000023560.1)". Lineage: Eukaryota; Metazoa; Chordata; Actinopteri; Blenniiformes; Gobiesocidae. The record is from RNAcentral.